AAUUUUCGUGCAUGUACGUGAAACACAGCUGGAGGGCUGUUGAUUUUUUUACGAUAGGUGGCGCUGUCGAGCCAUUUUGCCACACCCUCUUCUGAAACCUAUAUCAGACGUAAAUUUUCACCAGGUCUGACGCGUGUGCAAAGUUUCAGGACUUUUCGAGCAUGUUUAGGCCCUCAAAAAUGCGAUUCAUUUUGGAGAAGAAGAAGAAGAAGAAUAAUAAUAAUAAUUAAAGCUGCAAGCAGCGAUGAACGGGCCCUCGCACCC
Long non-coding RNA from Cyprinus carpio carpio, 264 nucleotides. Lineage: Eukaryota; Metazoa; Chordata; Actinopteri; Cypriniformes; Cyprinidae. The record is from Ensembl.